CGGUUAGACUAAAAGACCUAGUUAUAUAAUUAAGGUAAAAAGGUGGUUAAAUACUUAAUUAAAUAGCUUCAUAAUUUAUUGUAAAAAAGUGAAAUUUGAAUACAAAUAAAUAAAUCAAAAGUAGCUAAAGAGGGAUUGAAUCCACUAUAGCUUUGGGGGAAACUGGGAUUUGAUACCCCAUUAUUCUUAGCUGUAAAUAAAUGUUAGAUUUACCAGAGCACUAUGAAUUAUAAAAUUUAAAACUCAAAGAGCUUGGCGGUGUUUUAGACCAUUUAGGGGAACCUGUCUCAUAAUCGAUAAUCCACGAUAAACCUGACCUUUUAUUGCAAUUCAGUUUGUACACCGUUGUCAUCAGGUAACUUUUUAGAAAAAUUAAGUUAGCAAUAAAAUUUUAAUAAAUUUAAAUGUCAAAUCAAGGUGCAGCUGAUAAAAAGGAGAGGAUGGGUUACAAUUAAAAUUUAUAAAAUGAAUCGGAUAGUGAAACCUAGCCGUGAAGGAGGACUUAAAAGUAAAGUUAUCUAUAAAAAUGAUUUGAAUUAGGCUCUGAAAUGUGUACUAACCCCGC
Molecule: ribosomal RNA, 565 nt
Filed under: Euclia balboae
Lineage: Eukaryota; Metazoa; Mollusca; Gastropoda; Neogastropoda; Cancellariidae
Description: partial 12S ribosomal RNA
Source: RNAcentral